RNAcentral lists this ribosomal RNA (443 nucleotides) under uncultured bacterium. Its description in RNAcentral is "partial 16S ribosomal RNA". It matches the Rfam family "Bacterial small subunit ribosomal RNA", at positions 338 to 795 of the family's 1533-position model. The record is from RNAcentral.
CCUACGGGAGGCAGCAGUGGGGAAUAUUGGACAAUGGAGGAAACUCUGAUCCAGCAACGCCGCGUGAAGGAUGAAGGUCUUCGGAUUGUAAAGUUCUUUUCUAAGGGACGAAGAAAGUGACGGUACCUUAGGAAUAAGCCUCGGCUAACUACGUGCCAGCAGCCGCGGUAAUACGUAGGCGGCAAGCGUUAUCCGGAAUGACUGGGCGUAAAGGGUGCGUAGGGGGUUUGGCAAGUCAGUUGCGUAACCGCAGGGCUCAACCUUGGGACUGCAACUGAAACUGUUGGACUUGAGUGCAGGAGGGGCAAACGGAAUUCCCAGUGUAGCGGUGGAAUGCGUAGAUAUCAGGAGGAACACCAGUGGCGAAGGCGGGUUGCUAGACUGUAACUGACGCUGAGGCACGAAAGCGUGGGGAGCAAACAGGAUUAGAUACCCCUGUAGUC